GGGCGCGUAGCUCAGCGGGAGAGCACACCCUUCACACGGGUGGGGUCAUAGGUUCAAUCCCUAUCGCGCCCACCA
This 75-nucleotide transfer RNA is filed under the name Alphaproteobacteria bacterium. RNAcentral describes it as "tRNA-Val". It matches the Rfam family "tRNA". Rfam says of the family: Transfer RNA (tRNA) molecules are approximately 80 nucleotides in length. Their secondary structure includes four short double-helical elements and three loops (D, anti-codon, and T loops). RNAcentral also lists the same sequence under 2 other names. The record is from RNAcentral. Lineage: Bacteria; Pseudomonadati; Pseudomonadota; Alphaproteobacteria.